GACGAACGCUGGCGGCGUGCUUAACACAUGCAAGUCGAACGGAAAGGCCCUGCUUUUGUGGGGUGCUCGAGUGGCGAACGGGUGAGUAACACGUGAGUGACCUGCCCUUGACUUUGGGAUAACUUCAGGAAACUGGGGCUAAUACCGGAUAGGAGCUCCUGCUGCAUGGUGGGGGUUGGAAAGUUUCGGCGGUUGGGGAUGGACUCGCGGCUUAUCAGCUUGUUGGUGGGGUAGUGGCUUACCAAGGCUUUGACGGGUAGCCGGCCUGAGAGGGUGACCGGCCACAUUGGGACUGAGAUACGGCCCAGACUCCUACGGGAGGCAGCAGUGGGGAAUAUUGCACAAUGGGCGGAAGCCUGAUGCAGCAACGCCGCGUGCGGGAUGACGGCCUUCGGGUUGUAAACCGCUUUCGCCUGUUACGAAGCGUGAGUGACGGUAAUGGGUAAAGAAGCACCGGCUAACUACGUG
RNAcentral lists this ribosomal RNA (468 nucleotides) under uncultured bacterium. Its description in RNAcentral is "partial 16S ribosomal RNA". It matches the Rfam family "Bacterial small subunit ribosomal RNA", at positions 28 to 507 of the family's 1533-position model. The record is from RNAcentral.